GAGGGUAUAAUUCAGAGGCAGAGCACGUGCUUAGCAUGCAUGAGGUCCUGGGUUCAGUCCCCAGUACCUUCA
Molecule: transfer RNA, 72 nt
Filed under: Camelus bactrianus (Bactrian camel)
Lineage: Eukaryota; Metazoa; Chordata; Mammalia; Artiodactyla; Camelidae
Also listed under: 1 other name
Rfam family: tRNA
About the family: Transfer RNA (tRNA) molecules are approximately 80 nucleotides in length. Their secondary structure includes four short double-helical elements and three loops (D, anti-codon, and T loops). Further hydrogen bonds mediate the characteristic L-shaped molecular structure. tRNAs have two regions of fundamental functional importance: the anti-codon, which is responsible for specific mRNA codon recognition, and the 3' end, to which the tRNAs corresponding amino acid is attached (by aminoacyl-tRNA synthetases). tRNAs cope with the degeneracy of the genetic code in two manners: having more than one tRNA (with a specific anti-codon) for a particular amino acid; and 'wobble' base-pairing, i.e. permitting non-standard base-pairing at the 3rd anti-codon position.
Source: Rfam by way of RNAcentral